This 407-nucleotide ribosomal RNA is filed under the name uncultured prokaryote. Its description in RNAcentral is "bacterial SSU rRNA". It matches the Rfam family "Bacterial small subunit ribosomal RNA", at positions 355 to 776 of the family's 1533-position model. The record is from RNAcentral.
UGGGGAAUAUUGGGCAAUGGGCGAAAGCCUGACCCAGCAACGCCGCGUGAAGGAAGAAGGUUUUCGGAUUGUAAACUCCUGUCCUCAGGGAAGAAGGAAGUGACGGUACCUGAGGAGGAAGCCCCGGCUAACUACGUGCCAGCAGCCGCGGUAAUACGUAGGGGGCGAGCGUUGUCCGGAAUUACUGGGCGUAAAGCGCAUGUAGGCGGCUUGUUAAGUCAGGUGUGAAAACUGUCGGCUCAACCGGGAGAGUGCACAUGAAACUGGCAGGCUUGAGGGCAGGAGAGGAGAGCGGAAUUCCUAGUGUAGCGGUGAAAUGCGUAGAUAUUAGGAGGAACACCAGUGGCGAAGGCGGCUCUCUGGACUGAACCUGACGCUGAGAUGCGAAAGCUAGGGGAGCGAACGGG